This is a non-coding RNA of Suillus subaureus, 82 nucleotides long. The record is from the annotation of a RefSeq genome assembly. NCBI's taxonomy places the organism in Eukaryota, Fungi, Basidiomycota, Agaricomycetes, Boletales, Suillaceae.
UUGGUCUUAGCCUAGUGGUUACCGCAACAGACUCCAAAUAUGUUUCUCUUGGACUUGGCAGGUUCAAAGCCCGCAGACCACA